GAGCUGAGCAGUCAAGAUGUGUGACUUCACCGAAGACCAGACCGCAGAGUUCAAGGAGGCCUUCCAGCUGUUUGACCGAACAGGUGAUGGCAAGAUCCUGUACAGCCAGUGUGGGGAUGUGAUGAGGGCCCUGGGCCAGAACCCUACCAACGCCGAGGUGCUCAAGGUCCUGGGGAACCCCAAGAGUGAUGAGAUGAAUGUGAAGGUGCUGGACUUUGAGCACUUUCUGCCCAUGCUGCAGACAGUGGCCAAGAACAAGGACCAGGGCACCUAUGAGGAUUAUGUCGAAGGACUUCGGGUGUUUGACAAGGAAGGAAAUGGCACCGUCAUGGGUGCUGAAAUCCGGCAUGUUCUUGUCACACUGGAAGAUGACAGAGGAAGAAGUAGAGAUGCUGGUGGCAGGGCAUGAGGACAGCAAUGGUUGUAUCAACUAUGAAGCUCGUCCGCAUGGUGCUGAAUGGCUGAGGACCUUCCCAGUCUCCCCAGAGUCCGUGCCUUUCCCUGUGUGAAUUUUGUAUCUAGCCUAAAGUUUCCCUAGGCUUUCUUGUCUCAGCAACUUUCCCAUCUUGUCUCUCUUGGAUGAUGUUUGCCGUCAGCAUUCACCAAAUAAACUUGCUCUCUGGGCCCUCGGU
This 632-nucleotide long non-coding RNA is filed under the name Homo sapiens (human). Its description in RNAcentral is "long non-coding RNA NONHSAT162259.1". Lineage: Eukaryota; Metazoa; Chordata; Mammalia; Primates; Hominidae. The record is from RNAcentral.